AGAGCCCACAGCUCCUGGGUAGGACCCAGAGGGGGGAAAAGUACAGCAAAGACAAAAGUGAUGUGAUUACUCUGAACACCAUGAGGGCUGAAACCCAGUGGUGCAGGAGGCAUAGUGGGUCGCAGCUGUGCCUCCUAAAAAUAGCCUGACUUCCGCUCCCCACGGAGUUGGGGAGUCUGAGCUGGCUUCCAGGGGAGGCUCUAAAAAUAAAGCUGCCGGCAGGCCUCUGCUCACCUCCUCAGGGCCUACAGGCUGAGUCUGCACCUGGGGGCUGGGGAGGGGGGAGUGAGGUGCUGGACCAUGGGCUGCCUUCCAAAGACACCUGAUCCUCUCGACAGAAGUCAGUGAGUGAGAGCCAUCCUUCCCGUUUUGUUGAGGAAGACAUGGAGGCUGCUUGGUGCCGUGACAUGAUUUGGCCAGUGUCAGAGGAACAAGAAACAGCCGCGUCAAACAUCGUUGAACCUUUCUAGGCCAGUCCAGCCGAUUAUUUUUAAAAUGUUUAAUAACAUUGUUGACAUAACUGUGA
This is a long non-coding RNA of Peromyscus eremicus (cactus mouse), 526 nucleotides long. RefSeq lists it as uncharacterized. NCBI's taxonomy places the organism in Eukaryota, Metazoa, Chordata, Mammalia, Rodentia, Cricetidae. The record is from RefSeq and is a predicted model, not a curated record. The transcript is spliced from 2 exons.